UACGAAGGGUGCAAGCGUUACUCGGAAUUACUGGGCGUAAAGCGUGCGUAGGUGGUUCGUUAAGUCUGAUGUGAAAGCCCUGGGCUCAACCUGGGAAUGGCAUUGGAUACUGGCGACCUAGAGUGCGGUAGAGGGGUGUGGAAUUCCUGGUGUAGCGGUGAAAUGCGCAGAUAUCAGGAGGAACACCGGUGGCGAAGGCGGUUCUCUGGGCCUGUACUGACGCUGAGGAACGAAAGCGUGGGGAGCGAACAGG
This 253-nucleotide ribosomal RNA is filed under the name uncultured bacterium. RNAcentral describes it as "partial 16S ribosomal RNA". It matches the Rfam family "Bacterial small subunit ribosomal RNA", at positions 524 to 776 of the family's 1533-position model. The record is from RNAcentral.